CCCUUAGAUGUUCUGGGCCGCACGCGCGCUACACUGAUGAAUUCAACGAGCACUAACCUGUGCCGAAAGGUUCGGGUAAUCUUGUGAAAUUUCAUCGUGAUGGGGAUUGAUUAUUGCAAUUUUUAAUCAUAAACGAGGAAUGCCUAGUAAGCGUGAGUCAUCAGCUCACGUUGAUUACGUCCCUGCCCUUUGUACACACCGCCCGUCGCUACUACCGAUUGAACGGUUUAGUGAGGGCCUCGGAUUGGUCUCGGCCCGCUCUUUACCGGGCGGCGCCGUUGGUCGAGAAGACGCUCGAACUUGAUCGUUUAGAGGAAGUAAAAGUCGUAACA
Molecule: ribosomal RNA, 332 nt
Filed under: uncultured eukaryote
Lineage: Eukaryota
Description: partial 18S ribosomal RNA
Rfam family: Eukaryotic small subunit ribosomal RNA
Source: RNAcentral